This 26-nucleotide non-coding RNA is filed under the name Cricetulus griseus (Chinese hamster). Lineage: Eukaryota; Metazoa; Chordata; Mammalia; Rodentia; Cricetidae. The record is from RNAcentral.
AAAGAGUGGAAAAUGAGAAUAUGCGU